Ochotona princeps (American pika) is the source of this 1918-nucleotide long non-coding RNA. RefSeq lists it as uncharacterized. The transcript has 4 exons. NCBI's taxonomy places the organism in Eukaryota, Metazoa, Chordata, Mammalia, Lagomorpha, Ochotonidae. The record is from RefSeq and is a predicted model, not a curated record.
UUUUGGACAAAAAGGCAAGUUUAAGUUGAAUUGAUAUUAAACACAAAUAAACUCUUAAAUGUCAGUAUUUUUUAGUCAAAAUGUUUUGUAUACUUUUGUUUAAUCUUGUCGUAAGUCAAAGAAUGUUUACAUUGGGAAAACUUGUAGUCACUAUAUUACAUUUAUUUUGUAAUAGAUUAGAGUUUACUAUUUUGAAGGGUCUUUUUUGUCUUUCUAUCAUACCUACUUGAUUUAGUGUAUCUUAUUUGAAUCUUUCAUUUCUUAUUAUGUGACAUUUCCCUACGGUUCAAAAACAUGUUGUAUUAAAAAUUUAAUAUUUGGUAUGGAAUAAUUUUGUUUUCUGUGGUUUAACUUCUAUAAUUUUUACAUUCAAGAUGCCUUAAUUUUCAGAAUGUGCAGAGAUAGAAAAUUUUAUCUUUUGGGAAAGACUGUUUAAAAAUUAAGAUUUUUAAAAACCUUGUGUUGUUUGGAGUGGUGUUGAUGAGUUGCAUGAUUGUAUGGUUUUCAUUACUAAUCAGUUACUUAGUGACAGACGCUUUGUUCAUUUUCAUUCUUUUGUUUUCUGAGCAAUUCUUAAAAUGAAAAACUCAUCAACAUUAUGCUUCAUAUGUAGUACAGUUCAACUUUGCUAACGUAAAUAAAUUCUUAUUUUUGUGUAGCUGAAUGCCCUCAAUCGUUAAGAUUCAGAAAGGUGAAACAAAUGAAAAAUUCAAUUACUUAUACUUAUGUCUCACCUGUUUUGGGAAACAUUUUUUUAAACUUACAAUUGUCCAAGGGCAGUCAAUUUAUUACUUGCAAGUAUUUUAAUUGGUUCAAGAAAUAAUGUCUAAGUUUUGAUAUGUUAGAACUGAAACGUAUUAAAACAUUUAGAAAUGUCGAUUUAAGUCACUUCGGCUUAGCAAGUCAUUCAAGCUGAAAAUAGUGGUACUUUCUGCCAUUAAAAACGUUUGAUAAUUUGGGAAGCAAGGCUGAUAAAUUUUGUUCUAUUGCCUUCAGUAGUUUUGAAAAUUAGGGGCUUUAUGAGUUUUAGAAACAUAGGCAGUAUGUUUUCUUUUGAAGUUCCUCUAUACCAGUCUUUUAAUAGCUACCUACCUACACAAGCACAGCAAACAUCUUCAACUGGUCCUCUAACAGCUACAUACACACACUCAUUCUACUCAGCCACACCACUUUGUAAAUGAGUGCCCUGACGAGAAAUGAAAGCAGAAAUAUAUUAAUCUGAUUUGUCUGAAGAGGCUUCGGAUGAUAGAGCAUAUCACAGGUGUUUCUAAUCAAGUUAUUUCUGUUUUGAAAACAGUAUUUUCAAGUUAGUGCUGCUUUGAACACUGGCAAGCUUGGGGUCAUUUUGAAGACCUUACCUCUGUGUUCCAGGAUCAACUGUGGAACUCCAGGAGGCAGAAAUCUGUUGAAUGUCUUCAUACUAUAAUACAUGACGUUUUUAUUGCAGGUUUUGACCUUUAGGAGAGAGCCAAUUCUGGAGAACAACCUAACUUCUUUGAUUGAAUACUCACAUAAAUCACUGGAACGUGAUAGGAAAGUAACGAAUUUUUUAAGGCUUAAUAAUGGUUAAAAUGAAGACAAUAAUAAAAUAAGUCUCUACUUAACCGAGAAAUUCGUACCUUUUGCCGGUGAUUACCCCAGUCUGUGUCUUGACUGGUCGGUUUCACAGUUCCUGUUAUAUCCAAAAUAGGAAAAAAUUGUCCCAACAUUGUUAUCGAAUCUUAAUGGAUACCUAAUCCUGAAGAGCAACAAAAUGGAAGAUCUCACAAUAGCAAAUUUCAACUGAUAAAUCCAUGCUAAUUUAAAUUAUGGUAGAAUCAUAAUAACAAACAUGAUGCAAAGGUCUAUAAAUAAAACACUGCAUGGGGCUGGCAUUGUGGUAUAGCAGUUGAAACUGCUGUCUGCAACACCAGCAUGC